GUGACUGCGUACCUUUUGUAUAAUGGGUCAGCGACUUAUAUUCUGUAGCAAGGUUAACCGAAUAGGGGAGCCGAAGGGAAACCGAGUCUUAACUGGGCGUUAAGUUGCAGGGUAUAGACCCGAAACCCGGUGAUCUAGCCAUGGGCAGGUUGAAGGUUGGGUAACACUAACUGGAGGACCGAACCGACUAAUGUUGAAAAAUUAGCGGAUGACUUGUGGCUGGGGGUGAAAGGCCAAUCAAACCGGGAGAUAGCUGGUUCUCCCCGAAAGCUAUUUAGGUAGCGCCUCGUGAAUUCAUCUCCGGGGGUAGAGCACUGUUUCGGCAAGGGGGUCAUCCCGACUUACCAACCCGAUGCAAACUGCGAAUACCGGAGAAUGUUAUCACGGGAGACACACGGCGGGUGCUAACGUCCGUCGUGAAGAGGGAAACAACCCAGACCGCCAGCUAAGGUCCCAAAGUCAUGGUUAAGUGGGAAACGAUGUGGGAAGGCCCAGACAGCCAGGAUGUUGGCUUAGAAGCAGCCAUCAUUUAAAGAAAGCGUAAUAGCUCACUGGUCGAGUCGGCCUGCGCGGAAGAUGUAACGGGGCUAAACCAUGCACCGAAGCUGCGGCAGCGACGCUUAUGCGUUGUUGGGUAGGGGAGCGUUCUGUAAGCCUGUGAAGGUGUGCUGUGAGGCAUGCUGGAGGUAUCAGAAGUGCGAAUGCUGACAUAAGUAACGAUAAAGCGGGUGAAAAGCCCGCUCGCCGGAAGACCAAGGGUUCCUGUCCAACGUUAAUCGGGGCAGGGUGAGUCGACCCCUAAGGCGAGGCCGAAAGGCGUAGUCGAUGGGAAACAGGUUAAUAUUCCUGUACUUGGUGUUACUGCGAAGGGGGGACGGAGAAGGCUAUGUUGGCCGGGCGACGGUUGUCCCGGUUUAAGCGUGUAGGCUGGUUUUCCAGGCAAAUCCGGAAAAUCAAGGCUGAGGCGUGAUGACGAGGCACUACGGUGCUGAAGCAACAAAUGCCCUGCUUCCAGGAAAAGCCUCUAAGCAUCAGGUAACAUCAAAUCGUACCCCAAACCGACACAGGUGGUCAGGUAGAGAAUACCAAGGCGCUUGAGAGAACUCGGGUGAAGGAACUAGGCAAAAUGGUGCCGUAACUUCGGGAGAAGGCACGCUGAUAUGUAGGUGA
RNAcentral lists this ribosomal RNA (1170 nucleotides) under Escherichia coli. RNAcentral describes it as "partial 23S ribosomal RNA". It matches the Rfam family "Bacterial large subunit ribosomal RNA", at positions 593 to 1765 of the family's 2925-position model. Lineage: Bacteria; Pseudomonadati; Pseudomonadota; Gammaproteobacteria; Enterobacterales; Enterobacteriaceae. RNAcentral also lists the same sequence under 1 other name. The record is from RNAcentral.